CCUACGGGCGGCAGCAGUGAGGAAUAUUGGUCAAUGGACGAGAGUCUGAACCAGCCAAGUAGCGUGAAGGAUGACUGCCCUAUGGGUUGUAAACUUCUUUUAUAUGGGAAUAAAAUGUGCCACGUGUGGGAUUUUGUAUGUACCAUAUGAAUAAGGAUCGGCUAACUCCGUGCCAGCAGCCGCGGUAAUACGGAGGAUCCGAGCGUUAUCCGGAUUUAUUGGGGUUAAAGGGAGCGGAGGGGGAUUGUUUAGGCCGUUGUGAAAGUUUGCGGCUCAACCGUAAAAGUGCAGUUGAAACUGGCAGUCUUGAGUACAGUUGAGGUGGGCGGAAUUCGUGGUGUAGCGGUGAAAUGCUUAGAUAUCACGAAGAACUCCGAUUGCGAAGGCAGUUCACUGGACUGCAACUGACACUGAGGCUCGAAAGUGUGGGUAUCAAACAGGAUUAGAUACCCGAGUAGUC
Molecule: ribosomal RNA, 460 nt
Filed under: uncultured bacterium
Lineage: Bacteria
Description: partial 16S ribosomal RNA
Rfam family: Bacterial small subunit ribosomal RNA
Source: RNAcentral